RNAcentral lists this transfer RNA (73 nucleotides) under Camelus ferus (Wild Bactrian camel). It matches the Rfam family "tRNA". From Rfam's summary of the family: Transfer RNA (tRNA) molecules are approximately 80 nucleotides in length. Their secondary structure includes four short double-helical elements and three loops (D, anti-codon, and T loops). The record is from Rfam by way of RNAcentral. Lineage: Eukaryota; Metazoa; Chordata; Mammalia; Artiodactyla; Camelidae.
GAGGGCAUAGCUCAGCUGUAAGAGUGUAUGCUUAGCAUGCAUGAGGUCCUGGGUUCAACCCCCAAUACCUUCA